RNAcentral lists this transfer RNA (65 nucleotides) under Dipodomys ordii (Ord's kangaroo rat). It matches the Rfam family "tRNA". Rfam says of the family: Transfer RNA (tRNA) molecules are approximately 80 nucleotides in length. The record is from Rfam by way of RNAcentral. Lineage: Eukaryota; Metazoa; Chordata; Mammalia; Rodentia; Heteromyidae.
GGUGGCUCAGUGGUAGAGUGCUUGCCUUGCACUCAUGAGGUCUUGAGUUCAAUUCCUCAGCACCA